Molecule: long non-coding RNA, 4892 nt
Filed under: Triticum aestivum (bread wheat)
Lineage: Eukaryota; Viridiplantae; Streptophyta; Magnoliopsida; Poales; Poaceae
Description: long non-coding RNA (TAES_LNC011398)
Source: RNAcentral
CGCCUACGAGCCUCCCCCGAGCCCGCUGCCCUCCCCUACAGAUUCGCCGUGAGCUCCUCCUCCAAAUCCCCCUCAUACCUGUCUCGAUCCGUCACUGUAGUCUCCUGUACGAACCAGCGGCCGCCAUGGCAGAAGCUCAGCAUACGCGUACGCGCCCCUGCUUGGUUCUGCGCUCGUGCUGCUCCUGUGUGCUCCUUCUGCGGGCCGCGCCCCGCGCCCGCCCGCGGCCGCUGCUGCUCCUACUGUUGUGCGUAUGCUGCCCUGCGCCUCGCCCACGCGUGUGCCCGCCGUGGCCUAGCAGCGCCCGGCCGCGCUGCUGCCGGAUACUGCUUCUGCUGUAUCGCUGCCUCUGCUGCCCGUAACUGCUGAUGCUGCUUGCUGCCCGCUAGUCGCUGAUGCUCUGCCGCGUUGAGCUGCUGCCGCUGCUGCUCAACCACGUUGAGCUCACGCGAGGCCAUGGCAAACACAACCCGAUGGCUGGCUAUGUCCCUGCUAUGUAUGGAUGGCCCUUUGUAAUUAGUGUACUACUCCCUCCGUUCCGAUUUACUCGUCGUGGUUUUAGUUUAGUUUUGAACUAAAACCACGACGAGUAAAUCGGAACGGAGGGAGUAGAUCAUAAAGGCGCGCGUUGCCGCGCCCAUCCAUUUGAAUAGAAAAUCCAGAAUUGUAAAAAUACCUGUUGGAAUUUGCACAGUACAAAUAUCUAGGAAAUAUGAGUGCUUAAAAUUGCAACACCUAAAAUCCUACAUGUCAUCAAUAAUCUCUACAUUAACCAAGGAGCAAUUACAUAAAAUAAUUCAGAGGUAAAGAAACAAUCAAAUGUAGAAUAUAGAGCUUGCUAACAUAAGUAGUAAAAAUGGUUUCAAGGAGCGUAGUUUAACAAAAGAAAUGGGCACACGUAAUCUGUUUCUAAAUUUGCAUAUAACCAAUAAAGCUAAUGCAUGAAUAUCAUGUAAGGAACUGUGCGUAGUACCUGAACUUCCCAAUCUUGCAAAUUAAACUUCCUAGCUAUGCCAUUGCGUCAAGUAAAUAGCUAAGAUUUCAGCCUUCACGAUUGAUGUCCAAAGUGAAAGAAUCUGGUACAAAAUGAGAAAAUCAACAUUAAAACCGGAGAUUGCAGAUCAGAUAAGGGCCGUCAAGAGGAUACAGGAAUAGCAGGAUCGUCUAAUCUCUGCAAUGACGAUGGUAUGGACUUUGUAAGACGAAUGGCGUUUAGGGAGCAACGUGGGACGCCGACAACUUUCACAGCAAUACCUUCGAAAUAGGUGAAGUCGCUGGGAAAGGUACUCAGGUCACUUGUUACACAGGGGGGCAGGAGCAUAGCGCAACCUUCCAGUGCGUCGAUGGUAAGCCUGAACGCCGUGGGCCGCUGCGUCGGGUUUGGACCAACUCUACAUGAUUGUGCAUCGCCUCCGCCUGUUACUCCUUUCCACCUUGGUUACUCCUUUCCACCUUGCCAGAGAAAGAAGCAACGUCGAUGCCGUGGCCGUUGCCACCGGCAUAUAAGAUGGGAAUCUCACUGGAUAACGCAUCAUGAUUGCCUAGGGCACCAUCACCACAGUAGGGAGAAAGCGGAGCAGGAAAGAGAAGGUUAGCGGCGUACCACUAAAAGCCAACUCGCCGCUGGUGCGCUGUCGUCCUCUUUUGCCACGGUCCUCUAUUGAAUCUCCUCCUUCCGCACCGCCGCCGUAUCAGAGUCAUCGCCCAUCACAGACCUUUUCCUUUUUUUUUUGAGAGCAGCCCAGCACUGACUAACGGACCCGGAUCGAUCCCGGCUAACCACAGGCCACCAUAGUGGAUCUGCGGAGUAGCGGCCCGGCUACCGUGGGCCGAGCGGAUCGCGAGACUGCCGCGUUGACAAAUUGCUACAAGUGAUCGCAAGCAUGACCAGGAGAUCUAAAUCAUGAUCCUCAAAAAAAAAAGGAGAUCUAAAUCAUUCGUUAGUGUGAUACGACGGCUAUGGACAUCAAACCGCUGUGAGAGGGCGUAGCUAGCGGACGAGGCUCCUCUGACGUACUGCAGGGUGCAGUUGGGCCACUGACAGGUGGGCCCGAAAACAAGUUGGCCCACCUGUCAGCGACCCAACUGCACCCUGCAGUACGUCAGGGAAGCCGAGUCCGUAGCUAGCCCCGAUUUACUGUUUCUCAAUGUGUGUGUUCUGUGUGUGUGAGGCCGGCCCCUAUUCAAUUAGUUUAGGGUUAAUUAUUACUAGUUAGAUUAGCUACUACCCUAUGGCAGGUGGACCCCCUCCUCUAAAUUUCCACUUAAAAAAAUGCUAAAAUAUGUGUGAAUGACACCUGGGUCCCACUGGUCCCAUUGACCAGUCAAACUGCUGAAUGGGAUAACCCAGUCAAUGACAUCCGGGUCCCCUGGGCCCCCACCUGCCAGCCACUAAAUCCACUGCCGUGUACGCUUCUCUAUGUACACUUAGCAAUUACAUAUUAAUUUGUUUUCGAAUUAAAAUAAUUCCAGAAAAUUAGAAAAUCAUUUAAAAAUUUAAAAAUUCAUAGAAAAUAAUCCGUAACUCGAAUGAAAAAGUUUUCUACAUGAAAGUUGCUCAGAACGACGAGAUGAAUCUAAAUACGCGAUCUGUUCGUCCGCCACACGUCUCUAGCAUAGCGAACAUGCAACAUUUUCCCUCCGGUUCGUCUGUCCGAAAAUACCUAACUCGGGGAAAACUUUCUUGGAUGUUAUCCCUCUUCCCCGGUAUUGAAAAGCACUGCGUUAGAACACCUCUAGCACCAUUUUUUCUGUCUUGUCAUGCUUAGUAUUGUGCUUGUUUGACGUGUAUUUACUGUUUCUUCCCCUCUUCUCUCCGGUAGACCUCGAGACUGACGUUGCCGCCGAGGACGACUACGCUCUGACGAUCAGUACUUUUCAGCAGAGCUUCCAGGCAAGCCCCCCCUUUGAUCAUCCCGAUAUCGCCCAUUCCAUUCUCUCAUGCUUGCAUUAGAUUUUGCUACUGUAAUUGAUUGCUCCUAUUCUGAUGCAUAGCAUGCUUUAGUACCUGUUGUUGUACCUUACCUGCUUAUCCUAAAUUGCUUAGUAUAGGUUGGCAAGUGAUCCAUCAGUGAUCCCCACCUUGAUUGCUCCUAUUCUGAUGCAUAACAUGCUUUAGUACCUGUUGUUGUACCUUACCUGCUUAUCCUAAACUGCUUAGUAUAGGUUGGCAAGUGAUCCAUCAGUGAUCCCCACCUUGUCUUUGUUGCCCUUGCUUCGUCAUCAACGACUCGAUCGACGUGAUCGACGACCAGAGCCUGGCACCUCACAUCACAUCACGCCCUUUUGUUGCUCGACUCUGCAGAGUUACCAUCGAGUGCCGAGCGUGACACCUCAUACAUCACUCUUGAUGAGAUCUCUGUAGUGUAGCUAUUCGGUCGUGGUCAAUGAGGGUGGUUCCUCCUUCACCAUUCCCGAUACGGAUCUGUCGUGCAACCCCUCAAGUGUGAACCUCGAGGGUGGUUCCUCUUACGUUCACCUUGAUCAUUACAUUGAGUGGAAUCCACAAUGGGUUAUUCCUCGGGUUUUUCCCUUGAUAUUUGAACACACGGUUACCUUGACUUUACUUGAGACCUUGGUGGAAGUCGGGCGGGCUCGGAGAGCACCCGCAAGAUGGUUACGAAGCACGGCCAGGCAGGCAGGCCGCCCCCGAGUGGGCUGGGCUAGCCCUUGCCAUAUUUCCUCGAGACGGGGCGACGGGGUCACCUUAUCAUGAGUCUCUGCUCAUCUCCGCAAGCUAAUAAUACACUAUGGUUUGGAUAUUUGUUCUGAGUUGGCAUUUGGCCUUUACGCACUAACCACCACGCGAGAAUAGUUAUGGGUCUCGACGUCGUAGUAUCAGCCGAAGCUUUGUUAGACGUCCAGUUCAGCAUCGUGGGCCUGCCAGGCCAGUGCCAUCUAGUAUGAGGUGGUGCUCGUCUCGGCUCGUCGCACAACGACCCGGAGUACUGCGGGCGAAUGGCCCAAGACCCCAGAGUGCUUAGGAUGUAGACCGGCAGGGACCUCUCUGCUGAGCCUAGGUAGGGCUGCGAUGUGUUGAUCUUUCGAGGCCGGGCAUUGACCCCAGAAAGGUGUGUCUGGCCAGAGUGAUCGAGUGUAUUGGGUAACGUGGUGCAUCCCUGCAGGGAAGAUUAUCUAUUGAUAGCCGUGUCCACAGUAACGGACGUUCAGACUUAUAUCUUGAUCUUAUACAACUACAAAUGGAUACUUGAGGUAUGUGGCUCCGAGAUUGCUUUCCCGCAGGGAGUCAGGGAAGGAUCUCUGGGCAUUAAUGUUACAACAUGUUUGUUAAUUAAACUGCUAUUCUUUACUCUCCUACAUGCUGCAAGAUGCUCGGAGCUGCUUGAAGACGCUAGUCUUCGUUAGGCUAGGCCUUCCCCUCUAUUCUGGCAUUCUGCAGUUCAGUCCACAGAUACAAACCUUCCAUUUUGAUACCAAUGCAUACUUAGUAUAGAUCUGAUAUCGAUGUUUGCGAGUAUUUUGGAUGAGUACUCACCGUUGCUUUGCUACCCCUUUUCCCCCAACUUUCUUCUUUCCGGUUGAUGCAACCAGAUGGUGGAUCCUUGGAGCCAGAUGCCCCGCCGAUGGAUGCUACUACGUGGAGACCGCCGACGACCAGGAGUAGUUAGGAGGUCCCAGACAGGAGGCCUUGCCUCUUCGAUCGUGUUGCUUUUGUGUUGGCCUUCUUAAGGCAUCCUUGUUUAACUUAUGUCUGUACUCAGAUAUUGUUGCUUCCGCUGACUCUUGUGUAUCGAGCUAUGUAUUCGUGCCCUCGAGGGCCUUGGCUUGUAAUAUAAAGCUUGUAUUAUUUUGAUUUGUAUCUAGAGUUGUGUUGUGAUAUCUUCCCGUGAGUCCCUGAUCUUGAUCGUACACAUUUGCGUGUAUGAUUAGUG